Molecule: non-coding RNA, 73 nt
Organism: Caerostris darwini
Lineage: Eukaryota; Metazoa; Arthropoda; Arachnida; Araneae; Araneidae
Source: the annotation of a GenBank genome assembly
UCACCGAAGUCAAGCAUCAUUGGGCGCGGUCAGUACUUCGGUGGGUGACCAUCUGGGAACACCGCGUGCCGUU